RNAcentral lists this ribosomal RNA (480 nucleotides) under uncultured bacterium. RNAcentral describes it as "partial 16S ribosomal RNA". It matches the Rfam family "Bacterial small subunit ribosomal RNA", at positions 28 to 523 of the family's 1533-position model. The record is from RNAcentral.
GACGAACGCUGGCGGCGUGCCUAACACAUGCAAGUCGAGCGAGUGAAUCUCCUUCGGGAGUGAAGCUAGCGGCGGACGGGUGAGUAACACGUGGGCAACCUGCCUCAUAGAGGGGGAUAGCCUUUCGAAAGGAAGAUUAAUACCGCAUAAGAUUGUAGCUUCGCAUGAAGUAGCAAUUAAAGGAGCAAUCCGCUAUGAGAUGGGCCCGCGGCGCAUUAGCUAGUUGGUGAGGUAACGGCUCACCAAGGCGACGAUGCGUAGCCGACCUGAGAGGGUGAUCGGCCACAUUGGGACUGAGACACGGCCCAGACUCCUACGGGAGGCAGCAGUGGGGAAUAUUGCACAAUGGGGGAAACCCUGAUGCAGCAACGCCGCGUGAGUGAUGACGGCCUUCGGGUUGUAAAGCUCUGUCUUCAGGGACGAUAAUGACGGUACCUGAGGAGGAAGCCACAGCUAACUACGUGCCAGCCGCCGCGGUAA